RNAcentral lists this ribosomal RNA (459 nucleotides) under uncultured bacterium. RNAcentral describes it as "partial 16S ribosomal RNA". It matches the Rfam family "Bacterial small subunit ribosomal RNA", at positions 338 to 795 of the family's 1533-position model. The record is from RNAcentral.
CCUACGGGAGACAGCAGUGAGGAAUAUUGGUCAAUGGUCGGGAGACUGAACCAGCCAAGCCGCGUGAGGGAUGAAGGUACAGAGUAUCGUAAACCUCUUUUGUCAGGGAACAAAGGCGGGGACGUGUCCCCGGCUGAGUGUACCUGAAGAAAAAGCAUCGGCUAACUCCGUGCCAGCAGCCGCGGUAAUACGGAGGAUGCGAUCGUUAUCCGGAUUUAUUGGGUUUAACGGGUGCGCAGGCGGUCUGUUAAGUCAGCGGUCAAAGCCCGGGGCUCAACCCCGGCCCGCCGUUGAAACUGGCAGUCUCGAGUUGGAGAGAAGUAUGCGGAAUGCGCGGUGUAGCGGUGAAAUGCAUAGAUAUCGCGCAGAACUCCGAUUGCGAAGGCAGCAUGCCGGCUCCACACUGACGCUGAGGCACGAAAGCGUGGGUAUCGAACAGGAUUAGAUACCCGUGUAGUC